This 253-nucleotide ribosomal RNA is filed under the name uncultured bacterium. RNAcentral's name for it is "partial 16S ribosomal RNA". It matches the Rfam family "Bacterial small subunit ribosomal RNA", at positions 524 to 776 of the family's 1533-position model. The record is from RNAcentral.
UACGGAAGGGGCAAGCGUUGUUCGGAAUCAUUGGGCGUAAAGGGCGCGUAGGUGGUUCUGUAUGUCUACCGUGAAAGCAUACGGCUCAACUGUAUUUUGUCGGUAGAAACUGCAGGACUUGAGGCUGGGAGGGGCUGGUGGAAUUCCCUGUGUAGCGGUGAAAUGCAUAGAGAUGGGGGAGAACACUCGUGGCGAAGGCGGCCAGCUAGACCAGUUCUGACACUGAGGCGCGACAGCGUGGGGAGCAAACAGG